UACGUAGGGUGCAAGCGUUGUCCGGAAUUAUUGGGCGUAAAGAGCUCGUAGGCGGUUUGUCGCGUCUGCUGUGAAAACCCGAGGCUCAACCUCGGGCCUGCAGUGGGUACGGGCAGACUAGAGUGCGGUAGGGGAGAUUGGAAUUCCUGGUGUAGCGGUGGAAUGCGCAGAUAUCAGGAGGAACACCAAUGGCGAAGGCAGAUCUCUGGGCCGUAACUGACGCUGAGGCACGAAAGCGUGGGGAUCAAACAGG
RNAcentral lists this ribosomal RNA (253 nucleotides) under uncultured bacterium. RNAcentral's name for it is "partial 16S ribosomal RNA". It matches the Rfam family "Bacterial small subunit ribosomal RNA", at positions 524 to 776 of the family's 1533-position model. The record is from RNAcentral.